This 455-nucleotide long non-coding RNA is filed under the name Medicago truncatula (barrel medic). Its description in RNAcentral is "long non-coding RNA (MTRU_LNC002715)". Lineage: Eukaryota; Viridiplantae; Streptophyta; Magnoliopsida; Fabales; Fabaceae. The record is from RNAcentral.
CUUCUCUUUCUCCUCUAGCGGAUCUCUUCUUCUUCCUCUUCUCUCUCCAUUAAAAAAUGAAGAACAACAAUCGUCACAAAUUAAAAAACUAAAAUCAUCACACAUAAAAAGAAGCAAUAAGAGCUAACCAUUUUCCUUGAUUUUUGCUCAACAUCUUUUUCUUCUUCUUAUUUGUUAACCCAUAUGGCAUAUCUGAACUCGUCCAAACAUGCAUACCAAUGUUCAUCCAGAUUCAAAAUUAAUGAAAUUAGAAAAAAUUUACCCAAAUUUGCGAAUCUAUAUUCAACCCUUUUUAAAACUCGAAAAAAUGGAAUUGUUGUUGAUGUUAAUUUGCGGUUGAGGAGUUGUUGUUCAUCCAUUAAAGAAGUUACUUAUUUGUGAUGAUUAUCAUUGUUCUUCGUUUUUUUAAUGGAGAGAGAAGAGAAAGAAGAAGAAAGAAGAAGAGAGAAGAAGAG